Molecule: long non-coding RNA, 545 nt
Filed under: Manacus vitellinus (golden-collared manakin)
Lineage: Eukaryota; Metazoa; Chordata; Aves; Passeriformes; Pipridae
Description: lncRNA (ENSMVIG00005006416.1)
Source: RNAcentral
GUUUUAAGAUCUCUGAUGCUUUCUUGUCAGGAAUCUCCAGUGAACCCAGCCCUUCAUUCCAGAUGUGGCUGAGGGAAGAAAACGUCAUGCAAAGUGCAAGGCUGACACCUGGAGGGACUGUGAGAGGCAGCCGGGGAGCCUGGAGCAGCCAGACAUCCUGCAGCACACAUGGCUGGAUCUUCCAUGUCUAUUUUUAGGAGAAGAAACAUAGAAGCUCUGACUGUGUCACCUAAUUAUUCACUUCCAUGCUCAGGAAUGUCUGGAUCAAAACUUACCUUGCUCAAUUUUGUCUGGACUCCCCUUCCUGCAAAGCAGCCUGGCACCAGCAUGGUGAAGUGCCCAAGUCCAUACCUUCAGGGCUCUGUGUGUGUUCCCAAAGAGAUCAGCAAAGGUAAAAUUAGACAUUUACUAAGGUUGAGUACAUACUAAAAUAUACUCCUGCUUUGGAGUUGGAAUCUCUGGCUACCCCCUACUAAUAUAGUCCCUUUGAAUCUUUGCAUUUAUCCCAAAAUAAAGCAUUCAAGUCAAGAAUUAGCUUGCUGCCU